AGAGUUUGAUCCUGGCUCAGAAUAAACGCUGGUGGCAUGCUUUAUACAUGCAAGUCGAGCGAAGACUAGAUUUGUAGUAGAAAUGAUUAAUUUUCACUUUGUGGAGAUUAUGAGUUUUUGCUAUUCCUGGUCUUAGCGGCGAACGGGUGAGUAACGCGUGAAUAAUCUGCCCUUGAAAUCGGGAUACCAUUCCGAAAGGAAUGCUAAUACCGAAUAAUGUUAUGAAACCUAGGUUUCAUAACCAAAGUUGAAUCUUUGGAUUCUUCGUUCAAGGAUGAGUUCGCGUCCUAUUAGCUAGUUGGUGAGGUAAAGGCUUACCAAGGCUAUGAUGGGUAGCCGGCCUGAGAGGGCGUACGGCCACAUUGGGACUGAGACACGGCCCAGACUCCCACGGGAGGCAGCAGUAGGGAAUCUUCCCGCAAUGGGCGAAAGCCUGACGGAGCGAUA
Molecule: ribosomal RNA, 447 nt
Filed under: uncultured bacterium
Lineage: Bacteria
Description: bacterial SSU rRNA
Rfam family: Bacterial small subunit ribosomal RNA
Source: RNAcentral